GACGGACGCUGGCGGCGUGCUUAACACAUGCAAGUCGAACGGAAAGGCCCUGCUUUUGUGGGGUGCUCGAGUGGCGAACGGGUGAGUAACACGUGAGUAACCUGCCCUUGACUUUGGGAUAACUUCAGGAAACUGGGGCUAAUACCGGAUAGGAGCUCCUGCUGCAUGGUGGGGGUUGGAAAGUUUCGGCGGUUAGGGAUGGACUCGCGGCUUAUCAGCUUGUUGGUGGGGUAGUGGCUUACCAAGGCUUUGACGGGUAGCCGGCCUGAGAGGGUGACCGGCCACAUUGGGACUGAGAUACGGCCCAGACUCCUACGGGAGGCAGCAGUGGGGAAUAUUGCACAAUGGGCGGAAGCCUGAUGCAGCAACGCCGCGUGCGGGAUGACGGCCUUCGGGUUGUAAACCGCUUUCGCCUGUGACGAAGCGUGAGUGACGGUAAUGGGUAAAGAAGCACCGGCUAACUACGUG
This 468-nucleotide ribosomal RNA is filed under the name uncultured bacterium. Its description in RNAcentral is "partial 16S ribosomal RNA". It matches the Rfam family "Bacterial small subunit ribosomal RNA", at positions 28 to 507 of the family's 1533-position model. The record is from RNAcentral.